AAAUUGAAGAGUUUGAUCAUGGCUCAGAUUGAACGCUGGCGGCAGGCCUAACACAUGCAAGUCGAGCGGAAACGAGUUAUCAGAACCUUCGGGGGACGAUAACGGCGUCGAGCGGCGGACGGGUGAGUAAUGCCUAGGAAAUUGCCCUGAUGUGGGGGAUAACCAUUGGAAACGAUGGCUAAUACCGCAUGAUGCCUACGGGCCAAAGAGGGGGACCUUCGGGCCUCUCGCGUCAGGAUAUGCCUAGGUGGGAUUAGCUAGUUGGUGAGGUAA
RNAcentral lists this ribosomal RNA (273 nucleotides) under Vibrio parahaemolyticus. RNAcentral describes it as "partial 16S ribosomal RNA". It matches the Rfam family "Bacterial small subunit ribosomal RNA", at positions 1 to 260 of the family's 1533-position model. The record is from RNAcentral. Lineage: Bacteria; Pseudomonadati; Pseudomonadota; Gammaproteobacteria; Vibrionales; Vibrionaceae.